Molecule: ribosomal RNA, 419 nt
Filed under: uncultured bacterium
Lineage: Bacteria
Description: bacterial SSU rRNA
Rfam family: Bacterial small subunit ribosomal RNA
Source: RNAcentral
AGCGAACGCUGGCGGCAGGCUUAACACAUGCAAGUCGAGCGGGCGCAGCAAUACGUCAGCGGCAGACGGGUGAGUAACGCGUGGGAACAUACCUUUUGGCUCGGAACAACACAGGGAAACUUGUGCUAAUACCGGAUAAGCCCUUACGGGGAAAGAUUUAUCGCCGAAAGAUUGGCCCGCGUCUGAUUAGCUAGUUGGUGAGGUAACGGCUCACCAAGGCGACGAUCAGUAGCUGGUCUGAGAGGAUGAUCAGCCACAUUGGGACUGAGACACGGCCCAAACUCCUACGGGAGGCAGCAGGUGGGGAAUAUUGGACAAUGGGCGAAAGCCUGAUCCAGCCAUGCCGCGUGAGUGAUGAAGCCCUAGGGUUGUAAGCUCUUUUGUGCGGGAAGAUAAUGACGGUACCGACAAGAAUAACG